This 299-nucleotide signal recognition particle RNA is filed under the name Cebus imitator (Panamanian white-faced capuchin). Its description in RNAcentral is "Metazoan signal recognition particle RNA (ENSCCAG00000007363.1)". It matches the Rfam family "Metazoan signal recognition particle RNA". From Rfam's summary of the family: The signal recognition particle (SRP) is a universally conserved ribonucleoprotein. It is involved in the co-translational targeting of proteins to membranes. Lineage: Eukaryota; Metazoa; Chordata; Mammalia; Primates; Cebidae. The record is from RNAcentral.
GCUGGACGCGGUGGCGCGUGCCUAUAGUCCCAGCUACUCUGGAGGCUGAGGUGGGAGGAUCACUUGAGCCCAGGAGUUCUGGGCUGUAGUGUGCUAUGCCGAUCGAUUGUCUGCACUAAGUUUGGCAUCGAUAUGGUGAUCUCUGGGGAGCGGGGGACCACCAGGUUGCCUAAGGAGGGGUGAACCGGCCCGGGUUGGAAACAGAGCAGGUCAAAACUCCGGUGCUGAUCAGUAGUGGGACUGCGCCUGUGAAUAGCCACUGCACUCCAGCCCCAGCAGCAUAGCGAGAUCCUGUCUCU